RNAcentral lists this ribosomal RNA (399 nucleotides) under uncultured bacterium. Its description in RNAcentral is "bacterial SSU rRNA". It matches the Rfam family "Bacterial small subunit ribosomal RNA", at positions 359 to 775 of the family's 1533-position model. The record is from RNAcentral.
GAAUAUUGGACAAUGGGCGAAAGCCUGAUCCAGCCAUGCCGCGUGAGUGAUGAAGGCCCUAGGGUUGUAAAGCUCUUUCACCGGUGAAGAUAAUGACGGUACCCGGAGAAGAAGCCCCGGCUAACUUCGUGCCAGCAGCCGCGGUAAUACGAAGGGGGCUAGCGUUGUUCGGAAUUACUGGGCGUAAAGCGCACGUAGGCGGACAUUUAAGUCAGGGGUGAAAUCCCGGGGCUCAACCUCGGAACUGCCUUUGAUACUGGGUGUCUUGAGUGUGGAAGAGGUCAGUGGAAUUGCGAGUGUAGAGGUGAAAUUCGUAGAUAUUCGCAGGAACACCAGUGGCGAAGGCGGCUGACUGGUCCACAACUGACGCUGAGGUGCGAAAGCGUGGGGAGCAAACAG